This 422-nucleotide long non-coding RNA is filed under the name Mustela putorius furo (domestic ferret). Its description in RNAcentral is "lncRNA (ENSMPUG00000031269.1)". Lineage: Eukaryota; Metazoa; Chordata; Mammalia; Carnivora; Mustelidae. The record is from RNAcentral.
AAAAAUAUGUAUUCUUAAAACUUAUAUUUUAAAUUCUCACUUUGAGUAAAAUAUUCUUGUGUUUUCUCCAGAGUUCUCAGGGGCUGCAGUCUCACACCAUCCAUUGUGGCAACAAUGGGCCAUUUCCAGCAGGGCCGGUGCACCAUUGCCCUGGAUGCCUGACGGCCACCUGCCUCCAGAAAAUCACAGUGUCUGAAAAGUGGAAGAGUGACAAGAGAAGAACCCUCCCAGGCAAGGCUCUGGUCUGCGGGGAGAAGGAAGAAGACAAUCUCCUAAUUGGUACCAUAUACAUCAGGUCCAGUAAUUUUCUUACUUUCUAGCAACACCAACCAAAAAUUCCACCCAAGGAAGAGCCACGUGCAAGAUGGCAUAAAAAUCAGUGAACAGCUCUGAGGUCGCACACCUCCCUGCCUGAUCCCCCA